AUUGAACGCUGGCGGCAGGCUUAACACAUGCAAGUCGAGCGGGGUGAUGGUGCUUGCACUAUCACUUAGCGGCGGACGGGUGAGUAAUGCUUAGGAAUCUGCCUAUUAGUGGGGGACAACAUCUCGAAAGGGAUGCUAAUACCGCAUACGUCCUACGGGAGAAAGCAGGGGAUCACUUGUGACCUUGCGCUAAUAGAUGAGCCUAAGUCGGAUUAGCUAGUUGGUGGGGUAAAGGCCUACCAAGGCGACGAUCUGUAGCGGGUCUGAGAGGAUGAUCCGCCACCCUGGGACUGAGACACGGCCCAGACUCCUACGGGAGGCAGCAGUGGGGAAUAUUGGACAAUGGGGGGAACCCUGAUCCAGCCAUGCCGCGUGUGUGAAGAAGGCCUUAUGGUUGUAAAGCACUUUAAGCGAGGAGGAGGCUCUUUUGGUUAAUACCCAGAAUGAGUGGACGUUGCUCGCAGAAUAAGCACCGGCUAACUCUGUGCCAGCCGCCGCCGUAA
RNAcentral lists this ribosomal RNA (503 nucleotides) under uncultured bacterium. RNAcentral's name for it is "partial 16S ribosomal RNA". It matches the Rfam family "Bacterial small subunit ribosomal RNA", at positions 30 to 523 of the family's 1533-position model. The record is from RNAcentral.